CCUACGGGAGGCAGCAGUAAGGAAUAUUGGUCAAUGGACGAAAGUCUGAACCAGCCAUGCCGCGUGAAGGAUGAAGGCCCUCUGGGUUGUAAACUUCUUUUAUCUGGGACGAAAAAAGGGAAUUCUUUCCCACUUGACGGUACCAGAGGAAUAAGCACCGGCUAACUCCGUGCCAGCAGCCGCGGUAAUACGGAGGGUGCAAGCGUUAUCCGGAUUUACUGGGUUUAAAGGGUGCGUAGGUGGGUAGGUAAGUCAGUGGUGAAAUCUCCGAGCUUAACUCGGAAACUGCCAUUGAUACUAUCUAUCUUGAAUAUCCUGGAGAUGAGCGGAAUAUGUCAUGUAGCGGUGAAAUGCUUAGAUAUGACAUAGAACACCAAUUGCGAAGGCAGCUCACUACGGGAUUAUUGACACUGAGGCACGAAAGCGUGGGGAUCAAACAGGAUUAGAUACCCUGGUAGUCCACGCCCUAAACGAUGGAUACUCGACAUACGACGAUACACUGUGUGUGUNUGAGACGAAGACGAUAAGUUAUCCACCGUCGGGAAGGUAACGGUAGUCGCGAAGAGUUAGUUAAACGUAACGAAAGGAAGUUAGACGGCGNGAGACGCGCCGACGGACGACGACGAGGGAGGAGG
Molecule: ribosomal RNA, 635 nt
Filed under: uncultured bacterium
Lineage: Bacteria
Description: bacterial SSU rRNA
Rfam family: Bacterial small subunit ribosomal RNA (bases 1-537)
Source: RNAcentral